RNAcentral lists this long non-coding RNA (1075 nucleotides) under Pan troglodytes (chimpanzee). Its description in RNAcentral is "long non-coding RNA NONPTRT001126". The record is from RNAcentral. Lineage: Eukaryota; Metazoa; Chordata; Mammalia; Primates; Hominidae.
CAGGCCCUUCACUCUUCUACUGAACCACUUUCUUCCAUGUGCACACGCUGAUUUCUCAACCUGGAAUCCUUUCCCUACACCUUUCCUCAAAGGACUGUUAAUGAGUUUUCAGAGCAGGUACUUCACUGAAAUGUAACUACCACAAUGCAUCCUUUCCAUGUGACUAACUUCGCUCAUGGACCAGAAUCACUGCGGCUCUGCCCUGGAGUGGUGCAAAGAGCUCGCAUUCUGUUUGGAAAGCAAAUUAUUUAAAUCCAGUAGAGGACUCUCAAAUGUGGUUGGAAAAUCUAAGAAGACUUCCCAGAGGCAGCAGCACUAGUGUCAGGGAAAGAGCUCACAAAUUCCAUUGCUGUAGAACCCAUGUGUUGAAGACCACUACACUGGAAUCUAGUUUUCUAUCCUAAAAUCUACCUCCUGAGUUUGAGUAAGACUUGAACUAGUUUGCAAAUAUCUGUGAUCUUCACCUUGCCUGCCUGCAAAGCCCAUAAGCAAAUUCAGAAGAGACUUCUACUUGUCCAAAGCAACAUGGAGUAAAGUGGGUCAACUAGAAUUAAAAUAUGCUCCAGCCAAAGGUGACCAUGGGAACCUAUUGAUAAGGCUCUGGGGUCAGAUUCAUCUCUGUUCAGACAACUCUAGCGGUGUGACUCUGAGCAAGUGUUUUUUAACCUAAGUUCCUGCUUCCUCAACUGCAAAUGUAGGAAGGGUAACAUCUUCCUCAAAGUUGUAUGCUGGGGAUAACACAUGAAGGAGAUACCUGGGCCAUAUAAUUAUUUAAGAAAUGUUCAUUUAUUUCUUGAACUACCUUCUACCAACUAUUUGGUCUGAGUUUAUGAAACUGUAAAUUUUGUCUAACAUUUGCCUAACAAAGCAUUAUUACCUUGCUUAAAGAAACACACAAUACAUUCUAAACCAAAAAUAAUUUGAAUGUAAUCCAUUAUUUUGGAUUAAUCUAUAUCAUCACUCCCCUCCCUUAGAGAAGACAGGCCAAGAGUUGGUUGCAAUAACUUUUGAAGUAAAUUGAAGACCUUAUAAUUAACACUUAAGUCGGAGAAGUUAUUAUAUUUUCCAGUGUUUC